RNAcentral lists this non-coding RNA (144 nucleotides) under Mesorhizobium australicum. RNAcentral describes it as "FMN sequence". It matches the Rfam family "FMN riboswitch aptamer (RFN element)". From Rfam's summary of the family: The RFN element is a highly conserved domain that is found frequently in the 5'-untranslated regions of prokaryotic mRNAs that encode for flavin mononucleotide (FMN) biosynthesis and transport proteins. This element is a metabolite-dependent riboswitch that directly binds FMN in the absence of proteins. In Bacillus subtilis, the riboswitch most likely controls gene expression by causing premature transcription termination within the 5' untranslated region of the ribDEAHT operon and precluding access to the ribosome-binding site of ypaA mRNA. The record is from Rfam by way of RNAcentral. Lineage: Bacteria; Pseudomonadati; Pseudomonadota; Alphaproteobacteria; Hyphomicrobiales; Phyllobacteriaceae.
CCGCGUUCUCAGGGCGGGGCGAAACUCCCCACCGGCGGUAUGCGGCGGAAGUCGCGAGCCCGCGAGCGCCUUCGAUAUGAAGGGUCAGCAGAUCAGGUGCGAUGCCUGAGCCGACGGUUACAGUCCGGAUGGAAGAGAACGGGC